RNAcentral lists this ribosomal RNA (492 nucleotides) under uncultured bacterium. Its description in RNAcentral is "partial 16S ribosomal RNA". It matches the Rfam family "Bacterial small subunit ribosomal RNA", at positions 29 to 507 of the family's 1533-position model. The record is from RNAcentral.
AGUGAACGCUGGCGGUAGGCCUAACACAUGCAAGUCGAACGGCAGCACAGUAAGAGCUUGCCCUUACGGGUGGCGAGUGGCGGACGGGUGAGGAAUACAUCGGAAUCUACUUUUUCGUGGGGGAUAACGUAGGGAAACUUACGCUAAUACCGCAUACGACCUACGGGUGAAAGCAGGGGAUCUUCGGACCUUGCGCGAUUGAAUGAGCCGAUGUCGGAUUAGCUAGUUGGCGGGGUAAAGGCCCACCAAGGCGACGAUCCGUAGCUGGUCUGAGAGGAUGAUCAGCCACACUGGAACUGAGACACGGUCCAGACUCCUACGGGAGGCAGCAGUGGGGAAUAUUGGACAAUGGGCGCAAGCCUGAUCCAGCCAUACCGCGUGGGUGAAGAGGGCCUUCGGGUUGUAAAGCCCUUUUGUUGGGAAAGAAAAGCAGCAGGUUAAUACCCCGCUGUUCUGACGGUACCCAAAGAAUAAGCACCGGCUAACUUCGUG